UAAUACGGAGGGUGCAAGCGUUAAUCGGAAUUACUGGGCGUAAAGCGCACGCAGGCGGUUUGUUAAGUCAGAUGUGAAAUCCCCGGGCUCAACCUGGGAACUGCAUUUGAAACUGGCAAGCUAGAGUCUCGUAGAGGGGGGUAGAAUUCCAGGUGUAGCGGUGAAAUGCGUAGAGAUCUGGAGGAAUACCGGUGGCGAAGGCGGCCCCCUGGACGAAGACUGACGCUCAGGUGCGAAAGCGUGGGGAGCAAACAGGAUUAGAUACCCUGGUAGUCCACGCUGUAAACGAUGUCGAUUUGGAGGUUGUGCCCUUGAGGCGUGGCUUCCGGAGCUAACGCGUUAAAUCGACCGCCUGGGGAGUACGGCCGACAAGGUUA
This 377-nucleotide ribosomal RNA is filed under the name uncultured Serratia sp. RNAcentral's name for it is "bacterial SSU rRNA". It matches the Rfam family "Bacterial small subunit ribosomal RNA", at positions 521 to 896 of the family's 1533-position model. Lineage: Bacteria; Pseudomonadati; Pseudomonadota; Gammaproteobacteria; Enterobacterales; Yersiniaceae. The record is from RNAcentral.